This 468-nucleotide ribosomal RNA is filed under the name uncultured bacterium. Its description in RNAcentral is "partial 16S ribosomal RNA". It matches the Rfam family "Bacterial small subunit ribosomal RNA", at positions 28 to 507 of the family's 1533-position model. The record is from RNAcentral.
GACGAACGCUGGCGGCGUGCCUAACACAUGCAAGUCGAACGGUAAGGCCCUGCUCUUGUGGGGUUCUCAAGUGGAGAAAGGGGGAGUAUCACGUGAGUAACCUGCCCUUGACUUUGGGAUAACUUCAGGAAACACGGACGAUUAUCCCGUAGAACCUCCUGCUGCAUGGUGGGGAUGGGAAAGAUUCGCCGGUUGGGGAUGCACUCGUGGCUCAUCAUCUUGUUGGUGAGGUAGUGGCUUACCAAGGCUUUGACGAGUAGCCGGCCUGAGAGGGUGACCGGCCACAAUGGGACUGAGAUGCGGCCAAGAGUGAUACGUGAGGCAGCAGUGAGGAACAUUGCGCGAUGGGCGGAAGCCUGGUGCAGGAUCGCCGCGUGGGAGAUGACGGCCUGUGGGUUGUAAACCGCUUUCGCCUGUAACGAAGCGUGAGUGACGGUAAUGGGUAAGGAAGCACCGGCUAACUACGUG